This 826-nucleotide ribosomal RNA is filed under the name Guinardia flaccida. Its description in RNAcentral is "LSU rRNA". It matches the Rfam family "Eukaryotic large subunit ribosomal RNA", at positions 43 to 893 of the family's 3401-position model. The record is from RNAcentral. Lineage: Eukaryota; Bacillariophyta; Coscinodiscophyceae; Rhizosoleniales; Rhizosoleniaceae.
UAAUUAAGCGGAGGAAAAGAAACUAACAAGAAUUCCUCUAGUAAGGGCGACUGAAGCAGGAAUAGCUCACCAUGUGAAUCUGCGUAACCAACUCAAAGUUGGCGCGCCGAAUUGUGGUCUGUAGAGGUAACAUCGACCAAUGUACUGGGCCAAGUCCCUUGGAAAAGGGCAGCUGAGAGGGUGAUACUCCCGUUCUUGCCUGGUACUAUGUGUCAUAGUAUGUGCCUUCAAUGAGUCGAGUUGCUUGGGAUUGCAGCUCAAAUUGUGUGGUAAAUUCCAUAUAAAGCUAAAUAUUGGUGGGAGACCGAUAGCGCACAAGUACCGUGAGGGAAAGAUGCAAAGAACUUUGAAAAGAGAGUUAAAAAGUACCUGAAAUUGCUGAAAGGUAAGCGAUAGAAACCAGUGCACAGUUUCAUCAUAUUUUUCCUUCUACUUGUAGGAGGGACGCUGUGAUUAGACAAUGGUCAGGAUGGGUUUUCCCGGGGAUAAAUGUGUAUAUAGGAGUUGCCUGUAUUCACCUAUUUCUGGUAAGACUAAGGUAGUCACGUAAGUGCUCGUGAUCCUGACAAAAUGGUUUUUAUUACCCCGUCUUGAAACACGGACCAAGGAGUCUAACACACAUGCGAGUAUGAGGGUGAUAAACCUUUAUGCGUAAUGAAAGUAACAGUGGUUGGACUCUUUUGAGGCACAAUCUGCCGGCCAUAAUUCUUCGGAAGAAAGGUCUGAGUGUGAGCAUGUGUGUUGGGACCCGAAAGAUGGUGAACUUUGCGUGAGUAGGGUGAAGCCAGGGGAAACUCUGGUGGAGGCUCGUAGCGAUUCUGACGUG